Zingiber officinale is the source of this 117-nucleotide small nuclear RNA. RefSeq annotates it as U5 spliceosomal RNA. NCBI's taxonomy places the organism in Eukaryota, Viridiplantae, Streptophyta, Magnoliopsida, Zingiberales, Zingiberaceae. The transcript has a single exon. The record is from RefSeq and is a predicted model, not a curated record.
AACUACAUGGUGAACACAAAGUGAAUUAUGCUUUCGCCUUUUACUAAAGAAUACCGUGUAUUCGCCACUUUAAGUAACAUGUGCUAAUUUUUGUAAGGCUUUCUUGAAAAAGAGCCC